RNAcentral lists this transfer RNA (73 nucleotides) under Felis catus (domestic cat). It matches the Rfam family "tRNA". Rfam says of the family: Transfer RNA (tRNA) molecules are approximately 80 nucleotides in length. Their secondary structure includes four short double-helical elements and three loops (D, anti-codon, and T loops). The record is from Rfam by way of RNAcentral. Lineage: Eukaryota; Metazoa; Chordata; Mammalia; Carnivora; Felidae.
GCCUGGCUGGCUCAGUUGGUAGAGCAUGUGACUCUUGAUCUCAGUGUUGUGAAUUCAAGCCCCACGUUGGGCC